RNAcentral lists this ribosomal RNA (690 nucleotides) under uncultured Bacteroides sp. Its description in RNAcentral is "bacterial SSU rRNA". It matches the Rfam family "Bacterial small subunit ribosomal RNA", at positions 32 to 715 of the family's 1533-position model. Lineage: Bacteria; Pseudomonadati; Bacteroidota; Bacteroidia; Bacteroidales; Bacteroidaceae. The record is from RNAcentral.
AACGCUAGCUACAGGCUUAACACAUGCAAGUCGAGGGGCAGCACAGUGUAGCAAUACACGGGUGGCGACCGGCGCACGGGUGCGUAACGCGUAUCCAACCUUCCCGUUACUCUUGGAUAGCCUUCCGAAAGGGAGAUUAAUACAAGAUGGUAUUCAAAUUCCGCAUGUUAUUUGAAUUAAAGAUUUAUCGGUAUCGGAUGGGGAUGCGUGACAUUAGAUAGUAGGCGGGGUAACGGCCCACCUAGUCUACGAUGUCUAGGGGUUCUGAGAGGAAGGUCCCCCACACUGGAACUGAGACACGGUCCAGACUCCUACGGGAGGCAGCAGUGAGGAAUAUUGGUCAAUGGUCGGAAGACUGAACCAGCCAAGUAGCGUGAAGGAUGAAGGUUCUAUGGAUUGUAAACUUCUUUUAUGCGGGAAUAAAACCACCUACGUGUAGGUGCUUGUAUGUACCGUAUGAAUAAGCAUCGGCUAACUCCGUGCCAGCAGCCGCGGUAAUACGGAGGAUGCGAGCGUUAUCCGGGUUUAUUGGGUUUAAAGGGAGCGUAGACGGGGGAUUAAGUCAGUUGUGAAAGGCUGCGGCUCAACCGCAGCACUGCAGUUGAUACUGGUUUCCUUGAGUGCGGUUGAGGUGUAUGGAAUUCGUGGUGUAGCGGUGAAAUGCUUAGAUAUCACGAAGAACUCCGAUUG